This 253-nucleotide ribosomal RNA is filed under the name uncultured bacterium. RNAcentral's name for it is "partial 16S ribosomal RNA". It matches the Rfam family "Bacterial small subunit ribosomal RNA", at positions 524 to 776 of the family's 1533-position model. The record is from RNAcentral.
GACGGAGGAUGCAAGCGUUAUCCGGAAUGAUUGGGCGUAAAGCGUCCGCAGGUGGCAAUUCAAGUCUGCUGUCAAAGACCGGGGCUUAACUUCGGAAAGGCAGUGGAAACUGAACAGCUAGAGUAUGGUAGGGGCAGAGGGAAUUCCUGGUGUAGCGGUGAAAUGCGUAGAGAUCAGGAAGAACAUCGGUGGCGAAGGCGCUCUGCUGGACCAUAACUGACACUCAGGGACGAAAGCUAGGGGAGCGAAUGGG